UAUUAAAAAAUGUAAAUACCGUAUCCCUUUCAAAUCGUAUAAGAAUGUCACAAGCGACUCCUUGGACUUUACGCACUGUCGCGUUCAACGUUCAACCAAUAACAUUUGUGGUAGGGAGAAUUGAGGAAAGUUCAAAUAUAACGUAGUAAUCUCAACCUAACCUUCAGUACUUCCAACGACGACGUCGUAAACGUAACUGGUUGUUGCAGAAAAUGAAAGGAAAAUAUACUUUGCGACCUACUGAAGUUGUUGCAAAACUCGAAUGGAAUUAAGGGUAGCAGCACCACCAUGGAGAAUUCGAAGACUCAAUUUUCCUGACAUUUCUGCGGUGGUUGCAGUCGCGCUUCUCAAUUCUUUCUUUGCAGCUCUACCAAAUUCUUUUUCGACCUUCAAUAUAAGAGGG
This is a long non-coding RNA of Apis florea (little honeybee), 403 nucleotides long. NCBI's taxonomy places the organism in Eukaryota, Metazoa, Arthropoda, Insecta, Hymenoptera, Apidae. The record is from RefSeq and is a predicted model, not a curated record.